Long non-coding RNA from Etheostoma spectabile (orangethroat darter), 141 nucleotides. RefSeq lists it as uncharacterized. The record is from RefSeq and is a predicted model, not a curated record. The transcript has 3 exons. Lineage: Eukaryota; Metazoa; Chordata; Actinopteri; Perciformes; Percidae.
UGUGUAGUACUAAUAGUACAAGCAUUAUGCAACAUGACCCCACACAAAUUGCAACAGAAAUUCUUUCAACUGAUCAAGUCUCAUAAAAAUCUUUUCUGUAACAUACAAAAGUCCAAAGAAAUCCAAGUGGUGGAAAGUAUU